Long non-coding RNA from Papaver somniferum (opium poppy), 682 nucleotides. RefSeq lists it as uncharacterized. The transcript has 2 exons. Lineage: Eukaryota; Viridiplantae; Streptophyta; Magnoliopsida; Ranunculales; Papaveraceae. The record is from RefSeq and is a predicted model, not a curated record.
CAGUACCUCAUAUGUUUCAAGCUGUCAUUCUGAUCAAGUCUGCAACAAAAACAAAAGUCUUUAAGAAAAUUUUGUUUUGCUUGUUCCAAAAUUAGUCAUGGCGGAUACUAGAAGUGUGAUUAUUUCGUGUCUGUUUGUCUGCACUCUCUUUGCUUCGAAUACGCUCAUGUGCACUGCAAAAGUAGAUCUCGAGUGUACUCGAAAGGUGGAAGAAGGCGGUAAAACAAUAGUAAAAACAGGAUAUCUUAUUUUCGUUGGAUUAUGCUCUACUUUAAAGGCCUGUGAUGAAUUAUGCUCCAGCCGAACAGAUACAUCUGGCAAAACCAAAGAAGGGAAAAGUGGUAACUGCUUCGUUUAUCCGCAGGCAAGUCCUAUAUUGGUAUGUGGCUGCUGCCAAGUGCCAUAAAUAAAUCAAUGCGAAGCUAAAUGGCUGUAUAGGUUUUGCUAUCGAAGCUUUGCAUUAGUUAUUUCCGGUGCCGGUCUUUCUGGAAUUUGAUGGGUCUUUGUGUUCAUUUUGUUGUCUUUGGUUUUUACGUGCCUAUCAGUUGUUUAUGCCUCGGCAUUCUUUUUUUCUUCUUCCAUAGGUGUUAUACUUUUAUGUAUCUUCCUUCCCUUGUAGAUUGUCAAAAACAUAAAUAAAGAAAGAAAUAAAGACAGGGCUUUGCUUUGUCUGGUUUUUUGA